GAAAAUUGAUUUACGUCGAGUGAAUCUUCACAGAACAGCAUGUGCUUUGUGAAUAGCUCACUUGAU
Molecule: non-coding RNA, 66 nt
Organism: Caenorhabditis elegans
Lineage: Eukaryota; Metazoa; Nematoda; Chromadorea; Rhabditida; Rhabditidae
Source: Ensembl